AGCGGACGUGUUGUGGAGACCCGGUAUGUGAAAGCAAAUUAAGUGGAACUGGACAGUUGCUGCCAGCCAGGUCAGCUUGCGAAUCAGCCGCAUGAUGGUAAGUGGGAAGAGCGCCCCUUGUUAAUGAUAUCGCAAGCUGACUAGUUGUUGGAAUAGCAUUUUACUGCCUUGCCGGACCAGAGAUGACCCCAGGUGUGUGCGGCUGCCACGAUGGGGUAAAUU
Pelobates cultripes (western spadefoot toad) is the source of this 222-nucleotide non-coding RNA. The record is from the annotation of a GenBank genome assembly. Lineage: Eukaryota; Metazoa; Chordata; Amphibia; Anura; Pelobatidae.